RNAcentral lists this ribosomal RNA (649 nucleotides) under uncultured beta proteobacterium. RNAcentral's name for it is "bacterial SSU rRNA". It matches the Rfam family "Bacterial small subunit ribosomal RNA", at positions 61 to 705 of the family's 1533-position model. Lineage: Bacteria; Pseudomonadati; Pseudomonadota; Betaproteobacteria. The record is from RNAcentral.
GUCGAACGGCAGCACGGACUUCGGUCUGGUGGCGAGUGGCGAACGGGUGAGUAAUGUAUCGGAACGUGCCUAGUAGCGGGGGAUAACUACGCGAAAGCGUAGCUAAUACCGCAUACGCCCUACGGGGGAAAGCAGGGGAUCGCAAGACCUUGCACUAUUAGAGCGGCCGAUAUCGGAUUAGCUAGUUGGUGGGGUAACGGCUCACCAAGGCGACGAUCCGUAGCUGGUUUGAGAGGACGACCAGCCACACUGGGACUGAGACACGGCCCAGACUCCUACGGGAGGCAGCAGUGGGGAAUUUUGGACAAUGGGGGAAACCCUGAUCCAGCCAUCCCGCGUGUGCGAUGAAGGCCUUCGGGUUGUAAAGCACUUUUGGCAGGAAAGAAACGUCAUGGGCUAAUACCCCGUGAAACUGACGGUACCUGCAGAAUAAGCACCGGCUAACUACGUGCCAGCAGCCGCGGUAAUACGUAGGGUGCAAGCGUUAAUCGGAAUUACUGGGCGUAAAGCGUGCGCAGGCGGUUCGGAAAGAAAGAUGUGAAAUCCCAGAGCUUAACUUUGGAACUGCAUUUUUAACUACCGAGCUAGAGUGUGUCAGAGGGAGGUGGAAUUCCGCGUGUAGCAGUGAAAUGCGUAGAUAUGCGGAGGA